GCGCGAAAACUUUACAAUGCGGGAAACCGUGAUAAGGGAACUCUGAGUGCCCGUUAAAUCGGGCUGUCCAUCAGUUUAAAAAACUGGUGAAGAAAGGGCCGGGCAAGACCGGUGCCAGCCGCCGCGGUAAUACCGGCGGCUCGAGUGGUGGCCACUAUUACUGGGCUUAAAGCGUUCGUAGCUGGUUUGUUAAGUCUCUGGGGAAAUCUUCCGGCUUAACCGGAAGGCGUCUCAGGGAUACUGGCAGACUAGGGACCGGAAGAGGUGAGAGGUACUCCAGGGGUAGGAGUGAAAUCCUGUAAUCCUUGGGGGACCACCUGUGGCGAAGGCGUCUCACCAGGACGGCUCCGACAGUGAGGGACGAAAGCUGGGGGAGCAAACCGGAUUAGAUACCCGGGUAGUCCCAGCCGUAAACGAUGUGCGUUAGGUGUAUCGGUGACCACGAGUCACCGAGGUGCCGAAGAGAAAUCGUGAAACGUACCGCCUGGGAAGUACGGUCGCAAGGCUGAAACUUAAAGGAAUUGGCGGGGGAGCAC
This 536-nucleotide ribosomal RNA is filed under the name uncultured archaeon. RNAcentral describes it as "bacterial SSU rRNA". It matches the Rfam family "Archaeal small subunit ribosomal RNA", at positions 339 to 879 of the family's 1478-position model. The record is from RNAcentral.